RNAcentral lists this ribosomal RNA (253 nucleotides) under uncultured bacterium. RNAcentral's name for it is "partial 16S ribosomal RNA". It matches the Rfam family "Bacterial small subunit ribosomal RNA", at positions 524 to 776 of the family's 1533-position model. The record is from RNAcentral.
GAAGGAGGAGGGAAGCGUUAUCCGGAAUUAUUGGGCGUAAAGGGUACGUAGGCGGCUGGUCAAGUAUGGGGUCAAAAGCCACAGCUCAACUGUGGGAAGGCCCUGGAAACUGACCGGCUAGAGUGAGGUAGGGGUUGCGGGAAUUCCCGGUGUAGCGGUGAAAUGCGUAGAGAUCGGGAAGAACACCUGAGGCGGAAGCGCGCAACUGGGCCUCAACUGACGCUGAGGUACGAAAGCUAGGGGAGCGAAUGGG